RNAcentral lists this microRNA precursor (123 nucleotides) under Nicotiana tabacum (common tobacco). RNAcentral describes it as "miR6025d stem-loop (nta-MIR6025d)". Lineage: Eukaryota; Viridiplantae; Streptophyta; Magnoliopsida; Solanales; Solanaceae. The record is from miRBase by way of RNAcentral.
CUGGCAUACCAACAAUUGAGAUAACAUCUAGGUUUGACGAUCUUUUAAGUAAUUAUCCUACGUCCAUUCUUGCACAAAAGUAUUGUCGUACCUGGAUGUUAUCUCAGUGUUGGCAUGCAUAAG